RNAcentral lists this ribosomal RNA (253 nucleotides) under uncultured bacterium. RNAcentral describes it as "partial 16S ribosomal RNA". It matches the Rfam family "Bacterial small subunit ribosomal RNA", at positions 524 to 776 of the family's 1533-position model. The record is from RNAcentral.
UACGGAGGGGGCUAGCGUUGUUCGGAAUUACUGGGCGUAAAGCGCACGUAGGCGGCUUUGUAAGUUAGAGGUGAAAGCCCAGGGCUUAACCCUGGAAUUGCCUUUAAGACUGCAUCGCUAGAAUUGUGGAGAGGUAAGUGGAAUUCCGAGUGUAGAGGUGAAAUUCGCAGAUAUUCGGAAGAACACCAGUGGCGAAGGCGACUUACUGGACACAUAUUGACGCUGAGGUGCGAAAGCGUGGGGAGCAAACAGG